UGUUAUGCGCAUGUCUCUAACCGUUAGUCCCAUGGAUUUUAAACUUGACAGGUGUCUUGCUACGGGCAUGAGUAAGUGCAGUGCCAAGUUUGACAUUGUUUGGAUUAGAAAUGAAAGAUAUUGUUAAAUAUAAAUCGGUAAAACAAGCACACAUUGGCUUUUGCCUCUCUAGCCAUUGGCCACUCCCCCUCUCACGCUAAGGACUAGAGACAGAGAGCAGCCGAGCUAUGGCUGCUAAAUUGUGAAAUACACCUCAGACCCACAAAAAUGUGCAAAGUAGCACUACUUUGGACAGUCUUUAUCUUUGAAUAGACAAACAAUUCCUGAAUUUCAGGACGUUUCAGAAUCCCACACAUGCAGAGCACCACCAGACAACCAGUGCAGACAGAGCGUGAUGCCACUUAUAGGCAGGCUGUUUAUCUUAUAAAGAGAGACGUGUCUGUAUAUAUUGACGCUUUUACAU
Molecule: long non-coding RNA, 463 nt
Organism: Etheostoma spectabile (orangethroat darter)
Lineage: Eukaryota; Metazoa; Chordata; Actinopteri; Perciformes; Percidae
Exons: 3
Source: RefSeq, a predicted model, not a curated record